This 396-nucleotide ribosomal RNA is filed under the name uncultured bacterium. RNAcentral describes it as "bacterial SSU rRNA". It matches the Rfam family "Bacterial small subunit ribosomal RNA", at positions 28 to 417 of the family's 1533-position model. The record is from RNAcentral.
GACGAACGCUGACGGUGUGCUUUAGGCAUGCAAGUCGAAACGAGAAAGCCCUUCGGGUGAGUAGAGUGGCGAACGGGUGAGUAACACGUGGAUAACCUGCCCUUUGCAGGGGGACAACCGGAGGAAACUCCGGCUAAUACCCCGUACGCUUGCUGGGUCGCAUGGCCCGGCAAGGAAAGGUAGCUUCGGCCAUCCGGCAAAGGAGGGGUCCGCGUCCCAUUAGCUAGUUGGUGAGGUAGAGGCUCACCAAGGUUACGAUGGGUAGCUGGUCUGAGAGGAUGAUCAGCCACACUGGGACUGAGACACGGCCCAGACUCCUACGGGAGGCAGCAGCCAGGAAUCUUGCACAAUGGGCGAAAGCCUGAUGCAGCAACACCGUGUGGGCGAAGGAAGGCC